RNAcentral lists this long non-coding RNA (279 nucleotides) under Eucalyptus grandis. RNAcentral's name for it is "long non-coding RNA (EGRA_LNC001070)". The record is from RNAcentral. Lineage: Eukaryota; Viridiplantae; Streptophyta; Magnoliopsida; Myrtales; Myrtaceae.
UUCAGGCUUGUAGCCCAAGUUCAGGGCUCAAGCCCAACGAUCCAUCCAUUCCGGAAAAAAAGGGACGAGGAUGAAGAUAAAAAUGUCGGAGGAGGGUUGACAGUCGACACCCGAAUAAUCUGCGCCGCCGCCGCCGCCGCCGCCGCCGCCGCCGAGAGGAUCCCCGCCGCCGUCGUUUGGUUGAACGGGCGCUGGAGGGGCCGUCGUCGCCGGUGGCCAAAUGCCGACCAUCACGAAGAUAUACUCUAUGCAGGAAGCGUCGCAGCACAACACCAAAGA